GGCCCAAACUCCUACGGGAGGCAGCAGUAGGGAAUUUUCGUCAAUGGGGGGAACCCUGAACGAGCAAUGCCGCGUGAGUGAGGAAGGUCUUCGGAUCGUAAAGCUCUGUUGUAAGAGAAAAACGACAUUCAUAGGGAAUGAUGAGUGAGUGAUGGUAUCUUACCAGAAAGUCACGGCUAACUACGUGCCAGCAGCCGCGGUAAUACGUAGGUGGCGAGCGUUAUCCGGAAUGAUUGGGCGUAAAGGGUGCGUAGGUGGCAGAACAAGUCUGGAGUAAAAGGUAUGGGCUCAACCCGUACUGGCUCUGGAAACUGUUCAGCUAGAGAACAGAAGAGGACGGCGGAACUCCAUGUGUAGCGGUAAAAUGCGUAGAUAUAUGGAAGAACACCGGUGGCGAAGGCGGCCGUCUGGUCUGUUGCUGACACUGAAGCACGAAAGCGUGGGGAGCAAAUAGGAUUAGAUACCCUAGUAGUCCACGCCGUAAACGAUGAGAACUAGGUGUUGGGGGAAUAACUCAGUGCCGCAGUUAACGCAAUAAGUUCUCCGCCUGGGGAGUAUGCACGCAAGUGUGAAACUCAAAGGAAUUGACGGGGGCCCGCACAAGCGGUGGAGUAUGUGGUUUAAUUCGAAGCAACGCGAAGAACCUUACCAGGCCUUGACAUCCCUUGCAGAGGUAUAGAGAUAUAUCCGAGGUUAUCAAGGAGACAGGUGGUGCAUGGUUGUCGUCAGCUCGUGUCGUGAGAUGUUGGGUUAAGUCCCGCAACGAGCGCAACCCUUGUGAUAUGUUACUAACAUUGAGUUGAGGACUCAUAUCAGACUGCCGGUGAUAAACCGGAGGAAGGUGGGGAUGACGUCAAAUCAUCAUGCCCCUUAUGGCCUGGGCUACACACGUACUACAAUGGCGUCUACAAAGAGCGGCAAGCCUGUGAAGGCAAGCGAAUCUCAUAAAGGACGUCUCAGUUCGGAUUGAAGUCUGCAACCCGACUUCAUGAAGCUGGAAUCGCUAGUAAUCGCGAAUCAGCAUGUCGCGGUGAAUACGUUCUCGGGCCUUGUACACACCGCCCGUCAAACCAUGGGAGUUGGUAAUGCCCGAAGCCGGUGGCAUAACCUUUCGAGGAGUGAGCCGUCGAAGGCAGGACCGAUGACUGGGGUUAAGUCGUAACAAGGUAUCCCUACGGGAACGUGGGGAUG
RNAcentral lists this ribosomal RNA (1191 nucleotides) under human gut metagenome. Its description in RNAcentral is "bacterial SSU rRNA". It matches the Rfam family "Bacterial small subunit ribosomal RNA", at positions 328 to 1520 of the family's 1533-position model. The record is from RNAcentral.